GAUGAACGCUGACAGAAUGCUUAACACAUCAGCAAUUGAUUGGUGGCGGACGGAUGAGUAACUCGUAAAGAACUUGCCUCACAGCUAGGGACAACAUUUGGAAACGAAUGCUAAUACAUAAUACUGUGAGAGAGCUUGGCGUCCCAUUAGCUAGUUGGAGAGGUAACGGCUCACCAAGGCGAUGCUGGGUAGCCGGCCUGAGAUGGUGUUAGGCCACAAGGGGACUGAGACACGGCCCUUACUCCUACGGGAGGCAGCAGUGGGGAUUAUUGGACAAUGGACCAAAGUCUGAUCCAGCAAUUCUGUGUGCACGAUGAAGUUUUCGGAAUGUAAAGUGCUUUCAGUUGGGAAGCGGUACCAACAGAAGAAGUGACGGCUAACUACGUGCCAGCAGCCGCGGUAAUUC
RNAcentral lists this ribosomal RNA (406 nucleotides) under uncultured bacterium. RNAcentral's name for it is "partial 16S ribosomal RNA". It matches the Rfam family "Bacterial small subunit ribosomal RNA", at positions 28 to 526 of the family's 1533-position model. The record is from RNAcentral.